UACGUAGGGUGCAAGCGUUAAUCGGAAUUACUGGGCGUAAAGCGUGCGCAGGCGGUUAUGCAAGACAGAUGUGAAAUCCCCGGGCUCAACCCGGGAACUGCGUCCGAUACUGGAAGGCUUGAAUCCGGGAGAGGGAUGCGGAAUUCCAGGUGUAGCGGUGAAAUGCGUAGAUAUCUGGAGGAACACCGGUGGCGAAGGCGGCAUCCUGGACCGGCAUUGACGCUGAGGCGCGAAAGCUAGGGGAGCAAACGGG
This 253-nucleotide ribosomal RNA is filed under the name uncultured bacterium. RNAcentral describes it as "partial 16S ribosomal RNA". It matches the Rfam family "Bacterial small subunit ribosomal RNA", at positions 524 to 776 of the family's 1533-position model. The record is from RNAcentral.